This 72-nucleotide transfer RNA is filed under the name Candidatus Woesebacteria bacterium. RNAcentral's name for it is "tRNA-Lys". It matches the Rfam family "tRNA". Rfam says of the family: Transfer RNA (tRNA) molecules are approximately 80 nucleotides in length. Their secondary structure includes four short double-helical elements and three loops (D, anti-codon, and T loops). Further hydrogen bonds mediate the characteristic L-shaped molecular structure. tRNAs have two regions of fundamental functional importance: the anti-codon, which is responsible for specific mRNA codon recognition, and the 3' end, to which the tRNAs corresponding amino acid is attached (by aminoacyl-tRNA synthetases). tRNAs cope with the degeneracy of the genetic code in two manners: having more than one tRNA (with a specific anti-codon) for a particular amino acid; and 'wobble' base-pairing, i.e. permitting non-standard base-pairing at the 3rd anti-codon position. The record is from RNAcentral. Lineage: Bacteria; Candidatus Woeseibacteriota.
GCGCCCAUAGCUCAGUGGUAGAGCAUCCGGCUCUUAACCGGCAGGUCGUGGGUUCGAAUCCCCCUGGGCGCA